AUCCAUCUGAUGAGUUCAAAAUGGGACGAAACGCGCGUUCUGAAU
This 45-nucleotide non-coding RNA is filed under the name Schistosoma curassoni. The record is from RNAcentral. Lineage: Eukaryota; Metazoa; Platyhelminthes; Trematoda; Strigeidida; Schistosomatidae.